GGGGAUGACCUGGACUCGACAGAGAAGAUGGUGUCAAUCGCUUGCUAUUCGGGGUUUUGUUUAUUUCGGCCCGUUAGAAAGAAAUAUCCAACAAUAAGUGCUAAAAACACUAACUCUGUAUUAGCUUUUGCUAAAAACGCUGGAAACAAAGUUACUCGAUUUGCUCGAGAAACUGUAGCUUCUACUCGUUCUUUUGCUCUUGCUACUGCAUAAUCAUUUGUCCGCCUUGCGGGUUUUUUAAAACGAGCGUUUCGCUCCAAAUGUCGUUUUUAUUUUUAUAAAUAGGGGACUUAAAAACGUAUUUACCUUUUUCGAAAAAAAGAUUCUUUUUGAAUUUUUGUAGAAUAUUUUUUUUGUAUUUGAUCAAAUUUUCUUUUUUUGUGGCUUUUUGUUUUUUCUCUAUCACAAAGAAAUAUUUUUAGAAAAAAAUAUAAUAGUAAACGGCCUUUGAACCCUUCUGCUGGACGAGGGUUCGAUUCCCUCCAUCUCCACCA
RNAcentral lists this transfer-messenger RNA (494 nucleotides) under Patescibacteria group. Its description in RNAcentral is "SZUA-1403 sp016839105 Standard tmRNA". It matches the Rfam family "transfer-messenger RNA". From Rfam's summary of the family: Bacterial tmRNA, also known as 10Sa RNA or SsrA, is named for its dual tRNA and mRNA-like properties. Its role is to liberate the mRNA from a stalled ribosome. RNAcentral also lists the same sequence under 1 other name. The record is from RNAcentral.